RNAcentral lists this long non-coding RNA (1315 nucleotides) under Helianthus annuus (common sunflower). Its description in RNAcentral is "hypothetical non coding rna". Lineage: Eukaryota; Viridiplantae; Streptophyta; Magnoliopsida; Asterales; Asteraceae. The record is from RNAcentral.
UUCCUCUCUGCACCAAAUUCCUCUCUCUGCAGUUGUCUACUUGCAAGAUCUAGAUCUGCACCAAAUUCCUCUCUCUGCAUUUUCAAAAUUUGAAUUCCCAAAUGAAAAGAGAGGAAGGGGAGACAGAGAGAGAAUGAGAAAUAGAGAGAGAGAGGCGAUGGAGAAGGAGAGAUGACGGCAUGAGAAACCAUAAAUUACAAAAUCGUUCAGAUCUUCAAGGAUUUCCGAUACGAAACCUUUGUUAGGGGACUACAAUCGAAUGGACAAAAGAUUAAGAGGUGUCAAUUUUGUCAUAAUCGAGAGAAGGAUGAACAGGCAGCGACGAACUGGGUUUCGAUAGGAGUUUUAAGGGAGAAUCUUGUGAAUGAAGCACAACUUGAAAAAAAAGCAAACCCAGGGAGCUUCAAAAUAGAGUUAAUCAAAAGAGGCUAAAAUUACAGUCCACGGGGAAGGCGGAAGACGUGGCCGGAUUGUGUGGUGAUUUUUGAUAUUGAAAGGAAGAGUUUUGUGAUUUUGGAAGCUACCAGGUUGCAGAUUCCUAUUAUAGCGCUGGUGGACCUGAGUAUGCCGUUGGAGAGGUUUAAGAAGAUUACGCAUCCUGUUCGGGCGAAUGAUUCGGUGCAGUUUAUGUAUUUGUUUUGUAAUUUGAUUAUGAAAAACGAUCCAAUAUGAGCAGAAGAAGCUCGCUGCAGCUAAAGGGAACGUGGUUAAGGAAGUCGAGCCGAAAAUUGGUGAGGCGGCUUUACCGGCUGGUACGAUUAAGAUAGAUAGUGUAAAUGAUGAAUUGACGGUUCUAUCGUAUGAAGGGUUAUCUCCCGCUUUUGAUGGUAAUUGUGUAAUUUGUUUUACUUAAUAAUCAUUUAUGACUAUCUUUUUAUGCACAUGUGAUAUAUUUCUGAAUACAUAUCCCACAUAAAUCAAGGAGCUUUUGGAAUAACUUGUUGUCGUUAAGAUCAAUGAUAAUAAAGGGACCAAGAUGGGUUUUGAUAGGCAAAAGUAUGGGUUUAUUAUGACCAUCAGUUCUAUCAUUCUUCCACAUCUAAGUUCUAGGAUCACAAAGGUAACCUUUAAACCCUAAAAUGUCUAAAUGUUACCAGAGAGGCUCGAUUCCCUUUCGUUGUUCGUCUAAUAUGAAGAAGAAGGUCCCAUUUGUUCUUAACAAGUAAUUUCAUUAGGGUGUGAGUGAUUGUUGUUCACUGGCUUAACAAGAAUCAAGUGCCGUUAUUUUGAGUUGUUUCUCUCUUUGUUUUUAGGGUUGUUUGCUGCCACAUAUGAGAUACUGGGAUCCUCAGUUUCAAUAACAUCAAUAAUUCAG